AGACGUUUGAUCCGGCGUCAGGAUGAACGCGUGCGGCGUGCCUAACACAUGCAAGUCGAACGGGGACGAGACGGAAACCGUACGUGAAGUCUGUCCGAGUGGCGGACGGGUGGAGUAACGCGUGGAUAACCUGCCGCAUGCAGGGGGAUACCGGCUGGAAACAGCCGCUAAUACCGCAUAAGCGCACGGUGCCGCAUGGCAGAGUGCGAAAAGGAGAAAUCCGGCAAGCGAUGGAUCCGCGUCCGAUUAGCCAGUUGGCGGGGUAAGGGCCCGACCAAAGCGACGAUCGGUAGCCGGCCUGAGAGGGCGGACGGCCACAUUGGGACUGAGACACGGCCCAGACUCCUACGGGAGGCAGCAGUGGGGGAUAUUGCACAAUGGGGGAAACCCUGAUGCAGCGACGCCGCGUGGGUGAAGAAGUAUUUCGGCAUGUAAAGCCCUAUCAGCAGGGAAGAAAGAAGACGGUACCUGACUAAGAAGCCCCGGCUAACUACGUG
This 497-nucleotide ribosomal RNA is filed under the name uncultured Lachnospiraceae bacterium. RNAcentral's name for it is "bacterial SSU rRNA". It matches the Rfam family "Bacterial small subunit ribosomal RNA", at positions 8 to 507 of the family's 1533-position model. Lineage: Bacteria; Bacillati; Bacillota; Clostridia; Lachnospirales; Lachnospiraceae. The record is from RNAcentral.